This 30-nucleotide non-coding RNA is filed under the name Rattus norvegicus (Norway rat). The record is from RNAcentral. Lineage: Eukaryota; Metazoa; Chordata; Mammalia; Rodentia; Muridae.
UCCUAAUAAUGGUGAAUAUGGAGAGUGAGC